Molecule: ribosomal RNA, 468 nt
Filed under: uncultured bacterium
Lineage: Bacteria
Description: partial 16S ribosomal RNA
Rfam family: Bacterial small subunit ribosomal RNA
Source: RNAcentral
GACGAACGCUGGCGGCGUGCUUAACACAUGCAAGUCGAACGGAAAGGCCCUGCUUUUGUGGGGUGCUCGAGUGGCGAACGGGUGAGUAACACGUGAGUAACCUGCCCUUUACUUUGGGAUAACUUCAGGAAACUGGGGCUAAUACCGGAUAGGAGCUCCUGCUGCAUGGUGGGGGUUGGAAAGUUUCGGCGGUUGGGGAUGGACUCGCGGCUUAUCAGCUUGUUGGUGGGGUAGUGGCUUACCAAGGCUUUGACGGGUAGCCGGCCUGAGAGGGUGACCGGCCACAUUGGGACUGAGAUACGGCCCAGACUCCUACGGGAGGCAGCAGUGGGGAAUAUUGCACAAUGGGCGGAAGCCUGAUGCAGAAACGCCGCGUGCGGGAUGACGGCAUCCGGGUUGUAAACCGCUUUCGCCUGUGACGAAGCGUGAGUGACGGUAAUGGGUAAAGAAGCACCGGCUAACUACGUG